This is a long non-coding RNA of Octodon degus (degu), 468 nucleotides long. RefSeq lists it as uncharacterized. NCBI's taxonomy places the organism in Eukaryota, Metazoa, Chordata, Mammalia, Rodentia, Octodontidae. The record is from RefSeq and is a predicted model, not a curated record. The transcript has 3 exons.
GACUGUGAAGAGGGCUGUACCCCAGGGAAGGAAGAGUGGGAGGCAAGCCUCUGGUGGCCGGGAGGAGGCCGACCUUAAAGGGACUGCUCUUGUGGCUAUUGUAAAGCAGUCUACUUAGAAAGAUUGGAAACAAUGCAGAAACAAAUAAGGUUCUAGUGAAGAGAGACAUGAAUUGGAAAGGGCUCCAGAGAAGAUCUGAAUCUUUCAGCUAAGACAUUUGAAUUUUCCUUGCAGAAAUGAAAAACAAGAUUUUUGAGCCAAUGAGUAGCACAGUAAGAAUGGAAUCCUUCAGCAGCAUAUUCAGAAGAAUGGACUCUUCAGAACGUUGUGAAGAGUUAAGAUGCUGGUAAGUCUACCCAAGGACCUCUUCGGUUGUCCCUGCUGAGCUUGGAGAGAGCAAAGUGACAGCUUCUUUACUUUUCCUGGGGUGAGACUCGGCCUCGGCCUCAGCCUUGGCCUUGGGCAUGC